UCGGGAAUAUUGCGCAAUGGAGGAAACUCUGACGCAGUGACGCCGCGUAUAGGAAGAAGGUUUUCGGAUUGUAAACUAUUGUCGUUAGGGAAGAGAAAGGACAGUACCUAAGGAGGAAGCUCCGGCUAACUACGUGCCAGCAGCCGCGGUAAUACGUAGGGAGCGAGCGUUAUCCGGAAUUAUUGGGUGUAAAGGGUGCGUAGACGGGAGAGCAAGUUAGUUGUGAAAUCCCUCGGCUUAACUGAGGAACUGCAACUAAACUACUUUUCUUGAGUGCAGGAGAGGUAAGUGGAAUUCCUAGUGUAGCGGUGAAAUGCGUAGAUAUUAGGAGGAACACCAGUGGCGAAGGCGACUUACUGGACUGUAACUGACGUUGAGGCACGAAAGUGUGGGGAGCAACAGGAUUAGAUACC
This 413-nucleotide ribosomal RNA is filed under the name uncultured bacterium. RNAcentral describes it as "bacterial SSU rRNA". It matches the Rfam family "Bacterial small subunit ribosomal RNA", at positions 355 to 786 of the family's 1533-position model. The record is from RNAcentral.